This 439-nucleotide ribosomal RNA is filed under the name uncultured bacterium. RNAcentral describes it as "partial 16S ribosomal RNA". It matches the Rfam family "Bacterial small subunit ribosomal RNA", at positions 339 to 795 of the family's 1533-position model. The record is from RNAcentral.
CUACGGGACGCACCAGUCGAGAAUCUUCCGCAAUGCGCGAAAGCGUGACGGAGCAAUGCCGCGUGGUGGAUGAAGGCCUUAGGGUUGUAAACACCUGUCACAUGGGACGAAUUUUGACGGUACCAUGAGAGGAAGCCACGGCUAACUACGUGCCAGCAGCCGCGGUAAUACGUAGGUGGCGAGCGUUGUUCGGAUUUAUUGGGCGUAAGGGUCCGCAGGGGGUUUGCUAAGUCUGAUGUGAAAUCCCAGGGCUCAACCCUGGAACUGCAUUGGAAACUGGUGAACUAGAGUAUCGGAGAGGUAAAUGGAAUUCCUGGUGUAGCGGUGGAAUGCGUAGAUAUCAGGAAGAACACCGAGAGCGAAGGCAAUUUACUGGACGAUCACUGACCCUCAGGGACGAAAGCGUAGGUAGCGAACAGGAUUAGAUACCCUCGUAGUC